AUUGCUAACGACCAUUAAGGUGCGCCAUACGCCCGGAUGCGUGGUGCUUAAAGGGGAAGCCGGUGAAAGUCCGGCGCUGUCCCGCAACGGUAAAUUUCCUUAGGAAAUAAGCCCGAGUACCUGCCUUAUUGCGGCUCUUUGU
This 142-nucleotide non-coding RNA is filed under the name Chloroflexota bacterium. Lineage: Bacteria; Bacillati; Chloroflexota. The record is from RNAcentral.